UACGUAGGGUGCGAGCGUUGUCCGGAAUUAUUGGGCGUAAAGGGCUCGUAGGCGGCCAACUAAGUCCGACGUGAAAUCCCCAGGCUCAACCUGGGAACUGCGUCGGAUACUGGAUGGCUUGAAUUCGGGAGAGGGAUGCAGAAUUCCAGGUGUAGCGGUGAAAUGCGUAGAUAUCUGGAGGAAUACCGGUGGCGAAGGCGGCAUCCUGGACCGACAUUGACGCUGAGGCGCGAAAGCUAGGGGAGCAAACGGG
This 253-nucleotide ribosomal RNA is filed under the name uncultured bacterium. RNAcentral describes it as "partial 16S ribosomal RNA". It matches the Rfam family "Bacterial small subunit ribosomal RNA", at positions 524 to 776 of the family's 1533-position model. The record is from RNAcentral.